GUCCAGUUCCUUCACUCGUGUUUGCAACUUCUCAAUAUACUCGUACAAUUUUGUCAGGAUUGACGCAAUCUCGUCCUACAAAACCAAAAAUAUUCUUUGGCGGUCACAUAUCUCAAUCAGCAAUCCCUGCCUAUUUUAUACUUCUCACCAAGGUCUAUGGUAACAGGACACAAAACGCCUUCGCACAACUUCGAAGUCCAAUGGCAGAAACUUACUAGGACCCAACCACCUUAACACUGCCUACUUUUUCCACUCUCGAGGGCUUAACGAAACGCACCAAUUCCAAUCGAAAGUACUCACAGUGCAAGAAUUCAGUAAGACUUCUUGGGAGAGCCGAAAAUGCUCAUGAAUCCUAAGCCUUAAUCUUAACUCCGGCAAUGCUGCACUGUCAACAAACACGCCGGAACUGCGCGAUUUGGGAAUCUCUAAGGUUCUGUGUACAAAACCGCACUCCUCCUCGUAGUUCUCUACAUCCGUCAAGUCUGAAGAGUAGUCUAGGUCCGCGUGGUUAGAGACACCGACAGCAUCGCUGCACUCCACUGGCUUGCCCAUGCUCACACUCAAUGCAAGUCGCACUUUGCACCAACCUUUCCACUUCAAACAACUCGACACACCGAGCGUCACCUCACACCACCAGGCACACCACCAUGCAAUCACCCUCAACGGCGUUCCUUGCCGCAACCGUCCAGAAUUUCCUACUUACAAUUUAACACUCUGGAGCGCCACAAAUCAAGCCUCAACCCACGAAGAUGAUGAGAAACAAUGCUGUCCCAAUGAAGAGCGGAGGCAGACCGAGUAAUGGCGACACAUGCGGCCGUGAAAGUGAUGGUGGUGGCUGGGCGAGCAAGUUGACAAGUUGGUCCGGGUGUCGUGCUAUUACAUGCAUGAACCUGAGCAGGAAGGAAGGGAGCGAGAGAGCGAGCGCAAUGAAGCAGGCAGUACCUUCGUGCGAGUUUUAAACCGUGAAUGCCCGGUGCAAUGUCGUCGCAAAAUACUGGGCGAGUGCACCAAGACCACCUCCACCGUCGGCGUCGUGGUUGUGCUAAUGUGUGCUCGUGUGAAGGUGCUGCUGCUGCUCCUGGUGCUUCUGCUGCGAUGGCCUGCCUGCAUGUUAGGAGAUGCGCUCCAACCUUAGAUGCUCCGCUUUC
RNAcentral lists this long non-coding RNA (1148 nucleotides) under Physcomitrium patens. RNAcentral's name for it is "long non-coding RNA (PPAT_LNC003946)". Lineage: Eukaryota; Viridiplantae; Streptophyta; Bryopsida; Funariales; Funariaceae. The record is from RNAcentral.